GAUCUUCGACGAUAUGCACUGGUUCUUCAAGACUCCGACUCACUUCACGAAACUUGCCAAUACACAAGACUUAACAAUCUCCCCCUUUGGCAAUUUCGUGACAAAACUCACACCAACAAAAAAAAAUUACAAUUAAAGAAAACGAAGUUCAAUUGUCAUCACCAAAACAUUGAACUCCUCGCGUGUAAUCCAAAUACAUUCAAAACUCAAACUUACAUCAAAACUCCUAAAACAGACUCUAUGACUUAGACGCAACUAGGAGUCUUGAAGUCUUGAUUUCCUGCAAAAUAAUUCAUUC
Molecule: long non-coding RNA, 298 nt
Filed under: Ananas comosus (pineapple)
Lineage: Eukaryota; Viridiplantae; Streptophyta; Magnoliopsida; Poales; Bromeliaceae
Description: long non-coding RNA (ACOM_LNC043762)
Source: RNAcentral